CCUACGGGAGGCAGCAGUGGGGAAUAUGGGACAAUGGGCGAAAGCCUGAUCCAGCAAUACCGCGUGAAUGAUGAAGGCCUUAGGGUUGUAAAGUUCUUUUAGUUGGAAAGAUAAUGACGGUACCAACAGAAAAAGCCCCGGCUAACUCCGUGCCAGCAGCCGCGGUAAU
RNAcentral lists this ribosomal RNA (169 nucleotides) under uncultured bacterium. Its description in RNAcentral is "partial 16S ribosomal RNA". It matches the Rfam family "Bacterial small subunit ribosomal RNA", at positions 338 to 524 of the family's 1533-position model. The record is from RNAcentral.